AUGUACAGCCAUACCACUCUGAGCAAGCCCGAUCUCCUCUGACCUCAGAAGCUAAGCAAGGUUAGGCCUGGUUAGUACUUGGAUGGAAGAAAAUAGAUAUGAAUAGAGCUGACAAG
RNAcentral lists this ribosomal RNA (116 nucleotides) under Microtus ochrogaster (prairie vole). Lineage: Eukaryota; Metazoa; Chordata; Mammalia; Rodentia; Cricetidae. The record is from RNAcentral.